RNAcentral lists this non-coding RNA (160 nucleotides) under Clostridium septicum. The record is from RNAcentral. Lineage: Bacteria; Bacillati; Bacillota; Clostridia; Eubacteriales; Clostridiaceae.
AUCAUAUAAGGUGUUUUUAACUUAAUAGGGAAUCAGGUUUAAUCCUGAGCUACCCCAGUAACCGUGUAAUGGACGAAAUCUUAAAAUACCACUGUCUAGAAAGAUGGGAAGGGAAGAGAGUAGAAAGAAGUAAAGCCGGGAGACCUGCCUAAUAUGUUAG